Molecule: ribosomal RNA, 484 nt
Filed under: uncultured bacterium
Lineage: Bacteria
Description: partial 16S ribosomal RNA
Rfam family: Bacterial small subunit ribosomal RNA
Source: RNAcentral
AUUGAACGCUGGCGGCAGGCCUAACACAUGCAAGUCGAGCGGAUGAAGGGAGCUUGCUCCUGGAUUCAGCGGCGGACGGGUGAGUAAUGCCUAGGAAUCUGCCUGGUAGUGGGGGAUAACGUCCGGAAACGGGCGCUAAUACAGCAUACGUCCUGAGGGAGAAAGUGGGGGAUCUUCGGACCUCACGCUAUCAGAUGAGCCUAGGUCGGAUUAGCUAGUUGGUGGGGUAAAGGCCUACCAAGGCGACGAUCCGUAACUGGUCUGGGAGGAUGAUCGGUCACACUGGAACUGAGACACGGUCCAGACUCCUACGGGAGGCAGCAGUGGGGAAUAUUGGACAAUGGGCGAAAGCCUUAUCCAGCCAUGCCGCGUGUGUGAAGAAGGUCUUCGGAUUUUAAAGCACUUUAAGUUGGGAGGAAGGGCAGUAAGUUAAUACCUUGCUGUUUUGACGUUACCAACAGAAUAAGCACCGGCUAACUUCGUG